RNAcentral lists this ribosomal RNA (253 nucleotides) under uncultured bacterium. RNAcentral describes it as "partial 16S ribosomal RNA". It matches the Rfam family "Bacterial small subunit ribosomal RNA", at positions 524 to 776 of the family's 1533-position model. The record is from RNAcentral.
UACGUAGGGGGCAAGCGUUGUCCGGAUUUAUUGGGCGUAAAGAGCGUGUAGGCGGCUAGGUAGGUCCGGUGUGAAAACUCGAGGCUCAACCUCGAGACGCCGGUGGAAACCAUCUAGCUAGAGUCCGGAAGAGGAGAGUGGAAUUCCUGGUGUAGCGGUGAAAUGCGCAGAUAUCAGGAAGAACACCCGUGGCGAAGGCGGCUCUCUGGGACGUGACUGACGCUGAGACGCGAAAGCGUGGGGAGCGAACAGG